GGCUGGUCUGAAGGUAGUAGGUUACCUCAAUUGAUUGUUCACAGUCAGUUACAGAGUAAACUGUUUGCUCUGCUCUUUCACCACUUCUUACUACUGCAUGUGACUGGUGAAUA
Molecule: Y RNA, 113 nt
Filed under: Saimiri boliviensis boliviensis (Bolivian squirrel monkey)
Lineage: Eukaryota; Metazoa; Chordata; Mammalia; Primates; Cebidae
Description: Y RNA (ENSSBOG00000002917.1)
Rfam family: Y RNA
About the family: Y RNAs are components of the Ro ribonucleoprotein particle (Ro RNP), in association with Ro60 and La proteins. The Y RNAs and Ro60 and La proteins are well conserved, but the function of the Ro RNP is not known. In humans the RNA component can be one of four small RNAs -- hY1, hY3, hY4 and hY5.
Source: RNAcentral